RNAcentral lists this ribosomal RNA (440 nucleotides) under uncultured bacterium. Its description in RNAcentral is "bacterial SSU rRNA". It matches the Rfam family "Bacterial small subunit ribosomal RNA", at positions 338 to 771 of the family's 1533-position model. The record is from RNAcentral.
CCUACGGGUGGCAGCAGUGGGGAAUCUUGCGCAAUGGGCGAAAGCCUGACGCAGCGACGCCGCGUGAGUGAUGAAGGCCUUCGGGUUGUAAAGCUCUGUGGAGAGGGACGAAUAAGUGUUGGCUAACAUCCAGCAUGAUGACGGUACCUCUUUAGCAAGCACCGGCUAACUCUGUGCCAGCAGCCGCGGUAAGACAGAGGGUGCAAACGUUGUUCGGAAUUACUGGGCGUAAAGCGCGUGUAGGCGGCUUGGCAAGUCGGGUGUGAAAGCCCCGGGCUCAACCUGGGAAGUGCACUCGAAACUGCUUGGCUGGAGUGUCGGAGAGGGAAGCGGAAUUCUCGGUGUAGAGGUGAAAUUCGUAGAUAUCGAGAGGAACACCGGUGGCGAAGGCGGCUUCCUGGACGACGACUGACGCUGAGACGCGAAAGCGUGGGGAGCAA